This 2730-nucleotide long non-coding RNA is filed under the name Sus scrofa (pig). RNAcentral's name for it is "lncRNA (ENSSSCG00055016932.1)". Lineage: Eukaryota; Metazoa; Chordata; Mammalia; Artiodactyla; Suidae. The record is from RNAcentral.
AGAGGUCCAAUCAGAGACACAGCUGCCAGUCUACACCACAGCCACAGCAACAGCCAGAUCCAAGCCACAUAUGCAACCUAUGCUGCAGCUUAGAGCAAUGCCAUAUCUUUAACCCACUGAGAAAGGCAAGGGAUCAAACCCACAUCCUCAUGGAUACUAGUCAGGUUCUUAACCCACUGAGCCACAACAGGAACUCCAAUGCUUCUCUUGAUCCUUGGGAAACAUUAACAUCUUAUACUUGAAUUUUUGAGCAUACAACAAACUUUGUUCUUUUACAAAAAGAAAAAAAUGGAGAACAAAAAAAAAUUCUCAAACAGGAAAUAACACUGGUAUCUAUUUUCGAUCAUCUCAAAAAAUAAUUCAGGCCUCCAAGCCACUUAAGGACAUAAAAAUUAAGUAUAUGAGAUGAUAGGUCAUACGCAGCCCAUGCUGGUAGCCCAUAUACCACAGAAUAAUAAUCUUGGAUGAAUUUUAUUUUUCUGAAAACAGAAUCCAGAAUUUACCACAACAAACAAGGCAGUACUAAAAUCUAAAACCUUUUGAGUCCCAAAACAACAAAAUACAUUAAAACUUAGUCCUUCAUAAAUAAGUAUACUAAAUACAGCCACUAGUAAUCUCAAGUACUACGGAACAUUUCUCUAAAAACAAAAAGGAUGCAAUCUCUUUUUUCACAAAAACUUAACAAACUUAUUUGGGUUAAAAUACAGAAUAGUGGUUCUAAAUUUUGUAAAAACCACCUUAAGACUUAACAAAAGUAAAUGGAAGAAUUCAAAAAGAGUUCAUCAAAAAAAAAAAGAGUUGGUCAGAAGUGAACUAAUUAUAUAACCAAUGCCUAGGUAUAAAGCUAUAUAAGCUUAGCAUGAAGAGAGGACUCAAUUAAGAAGAACAAGAGAAAUAAGUUAAGUUCUGCAUUCUAGUAGAUGAGGAAUAGAAAUAACCAAAUAAACCUAUUCAACGUCAACUCUAAUCCUCCUAUCUCAAGACAACUAGCACUUCUAAUCUGUGUGUACUCAUCAUAACAUUUGAAUAUCUUGUCCUGGAUGUGUAACCCAAUUCUAAGACAGUCUUACCACCCAAAACUACAAAUUAUUCCUUGUCCCUCUGUUUAAACUUCCUCAUUCAUUUCUUUUCAGUUGAUGGUUCGCAUCCUGGAAAUGUAAACCAAUGAAUACCAGCUAUCAGAACACAAAUAUCCUUUCUUAACUAUUAAAUAAUUUUAUCAUUUCACAAUGACCAAACAAAAGAGAAUGGCCAAUAUCCUGAGUUUCUAAUUUUCCAGUCUGACUUUAACAUCUGAAAAAGUCUUACAAAUCUGUUUCUUUUGGUGGGCUGAUGCCUCAGUGGGAUGAUGAGCCAUAAUCCAGGAGUAAGAAUGUAAGCAAAUAGGACCAAGAGAUACAAAUUUCUAAUUGUUCAAGGUUUCUUCAAAAUCCUUUAAAGAACUGUAAAGCAUUAAAAUUUCAAAACAAAGGCAAUUCAGUUCAGCUUCACAAAUAUGUCUUACCUGGAAAACUUCUAAUUAAACUCUUUCCAAACUGAGAUAAGAAAUUUAACCCUACAUCAGUCAGAUUUCACUUUUUAUUCAUGAGGAAUAAGAUUCACCUAUUCAUUUUACAAUAUUUACCAAAUGCUAAAUAUAUUAUGAACACUGCAACUCAGUAUUGCAAUAAAAAAUAAAUAUAUAAGAACUGACCUUAAGGAACUCAAAAUCUAAUGAUGAAGAAAGACUGUUAAGUAUCCCAGGAAUAAUCUAAGGAAGAAAGGGGAACCAUUCCUAUAACUAUGGAUUUCCUAAUGCUUUUCCAAUAUCUAGUACAUCUAUUUUUUACAUAGCUGCCUUUAGGAUUAAAACUCAUAAUCUUAUUUCCAAUACCUGCUAACCUUCAUUUUAAGAAGCCAAGUUGGAGUUCCCAUCAUGGCCCAGCAGAAACAAAUCUGACUCAUACCCAUGAGGAUGUAGGAUCGAUCUCUGGCCUCACUCAGUGGGUUAAGGAUCCAGGUGUUGGCUCAAACUGUGGUGUAGGUCACAGACACAGCUCAGAUCUGACACUGCUGUGGCUGUGGCAUAGGCCAGCAGCUAUAGUUCCAAUUCGACCCUUAGCCUGGGAAAUUCCAUAUGCCUCAGGUGUGGCCCUAAAAAUACCAAAAGAAAAAAAAAAAGAAGCAGCAGCAGCAGCAAAGUUUAUUAGAGACUCAGGAAUUUCCUGAAGAAUACUAUUGUCUAACAAAAGCAUAAGUUAAUUGCAAAAGAGAAAACUGGAAGGUUUUUAUCAAGAUGAAGUAUAUUUUAGCUCAAAAGGAAUGAAUUUAGAUUUAAUUAGGUUAAAGUACAAACUACCUUCAAAUGAAGCAGAAAUACAAUUUUACUUUGUACAUUGUAACAAAACCUAUUUUUCCUCUAGAACCUGAAUCAGAGUGAAUAUAUAUCCCUAUAUACUGCAGUGCAAAGAGCUCUUAAAUUCAGUUUAAAUAAGAUUCUCAUUUCUCUUUUGCUAAAGAGGAAAGGGGAGAAAAACAAAACCUAAGUUUUCUCUUUUUUUUUUUUUUUUNNNNNNNNNNGCAUAUGGAGGUUCCCAGGCUAGGGGUCAAUUUGGAGCUACAGCUGCCAGCUUAUGCCACAGCCACAGCAACUUGGGAUCUGAGCUGAGUCUGCGACCUACACCAUGACUCACAAAAAGCCCAGAUCCUUAACCCACUGAGCAAGGCCAGGGAUCGAACCCUCAUCCUCCU